UAUAUCUUCCUUUUAAUGUUGUCCCAUUUAACAUAUCUUCCUCGAUGAUAAGGUUUGGUUGGAAUGGGAUUAUAUAACAGGGUUUGUAAUUGGUUGUUGAAUAUGGUUUGAAUGCAAUCAUGUGAACAUGGGUGGAAUGGCUAGAACGGAAUCUUGUGAAUGGAAUAUAAUCAUAUUUGAAUAGGGUGGAAUCUGAUGUUGUACAAGUGACAUCAACCUCCAUUUUCAACUAAGGUUGCUUUUAAUGUGGAGGAGUUUUGCUGUUCUUCUAAUUAUGACUUUAUCUACAUCAAUAGCUGCAAGAGAAGGUUCUAUUCCCAAGGCUGCUUAUCAGAUCUGUUUAGAAGUUUGGUUGGCUCUUUCUUCGCUUACUGAUGCUUUAGCACUUGCAGGACAGGUAACCUUAAACAUUAACCUACUACAAGGUUAAGGUUGUUGUUCUAUUUUUUUCUUGUAGUUGUCUGAUUGUGUUGUUGUGUAGGCAAUUCUUGCAAGUAGUUAUUCACAAAAGAAAUAUGGUGAAGCACACAGAGUAAUAGACUAUUUUUAUUUGUUGAAAUCAUUAUUUUAUAUUUAUCAUCAAACAUUCAACAAUUUCUUUCUAGAUCUAUACACCUUCAUUAUCGGAAGUUAGGUGAUCUCAACCAGACUAGGUGGUGCAUGAUACGCCAUUGACGAAGUCAAAAGAAAACCAGCCACAGUUUUACUAGCUCAAAUCUGGAAAUAGGUGCUCCAUUGUUGUCAAGACCUGUAUACUACUAUCGAUAUGGGUAAAAAAAUUGUAAGAUUACUGUUUUUGGUUUCAGAUGGUCCCAAAGUAUUGUAAGAUGACUAUUUUUGAAAUUUGGUCCAAAAAUAAUAGUCAUUUAUUUCACUUGAACUAGGGCCAAAAAUGUUACAAAAACCUCAAAAUAUAAUGAAAGAGAAAAUUUUUGGGACAAAAAAACAGAUUUACUCAAAAAAAAUUAACAAUACAAUACCCCGCAUCCAGAAAAGGUCCUGUCACGUGUCAGGCUGCAUUCUUUUGCUAUGAAGAUGAUGCAUGAGCAGGCGUUUUAAACACAUACCUUAUCAAACUUCAUUUAUGUGUAUCUGUAUAAACGUGAACACAAUUUUAGCUCAAAAGGCUUCACAUAUUUAAGGGAACAUGAUGUUCUAGUCUCUUCUGGUCUUUAAUAAUAUAAGGUAUGAUGAUGUUUAUAUUCAUGCUAUUAUUUGUGGUUAGUUGUUAUUCACAAUCAUAAUGAUUAUGUUGAAAUCUUGUUAUUCCUUAUUGUUUCAUGUCUUCUAAAGCUGGGAUGCUUUCUUUACCAAUGUUUUUCAAUUCCAGGAUUUUGUAGUAAUGGUUAUGCAUCAAAUGCCGAUUCUGGAAACUCUUUGUUGGUAUCUGGUAGAUUCCAAAAGAGAGAAAAAGACGCGACCAAGGAAUUUUAUGGGGCUUCUUAUAAAAUACAAGUUAUCCAUGACAAGAUUUAUACAUCCAUGUUGGCUGGCCUUUGUAUAGAAAAUAUGGUAAUGCAUUUGAGGUUCGAAUUUCCAAUCAAGUAGUUGAUUCUAGGCGUGAAUCCAUGCAAUCAGAUGAUGAAUGUCAAAUUGUAACAAUGUAUAGCAUUACAUUGUAGAAGGUGUCCCUUAAUAGCAAUGUAGUAUUAGGUUAUAUGGUUAGGGAAACCUCUUAAUAACAAUGUACACUUAGAUCCCCUUAAUAUCAAUGUACUACAAUUUUUUGAGAUGAUGUUAUUGGAUGAAAUUGAUUGUUUUGGUA
Lactuca sativa (garden lettuce) is the source of this 1765-nucleotide long non-coding RNA. RefSeq lists it as uncharacterized. The record is from RefSeq and is a predicted model, not a curated record. NCBI's taxonomy places the organism in Eukaryota, Viridiplantae, Streptophyta, Magnoliopsida, Asterales, Asteraceae.